Long non-coding RNA from Astatotilapia calliptera (eastern happy), 703 nucleotides. NCBI's taxonomy places the organism in Eukaryota, Metazoa, Chordata, Actinopteri, Cichliformes, Cichlidae. The record is from Ensembl.
AUGUAACCCACAUAAAAAGAGCUGCAUCUAUAACUAAGCCGAAAUUUUAAAUUCCAAUUGGGAGCGUGCCCGUGAAGGCAUCGCGACGCGUCAUGGCGCGUGUCUGCACAUGCCUGUUGUGACCAAUCACAUUCGCGAGGCACCGAUAUAUGCCUUCCGGGUUGUCGUCUCGAAAAGAUGCGGGGGAGAGGCGUUAGCGGAUGGAAGCAACAGUAUUUUGAUACCGCCGUGGGUAGAUGCGUGGGGCUCGUAUGUGACAUCGCACGUAGUGAAUGUGCAGGCUAGUGGUGCCCUGGAGAGACCACAGCGACACCACUACUUUGGAUGGCGAGCUAGGCCCAACGAGCCAGAACCCCAGCUACAACUUCCUGCGGUCUGGUAGGAGGCUGCUGCGGCCUACACUCUCCCCUCUUGGUUUAGUCCCCUAAAUCUCACUUCUGAGAUUUCAGCUUUGGAAUCUUAGUGCUGAUCAUCCUACUUCAAAUUUCAACCUGUCUAGACUGUCAUACGCGUUGGACUUAUAUCACUCAUGAAAUAAACUUUAUGGACAUUGUUGCCAGAGGUUGGACGAGGUUCCUGCACUGCCGUGCAGCGGAUAUUUUACAAGCUUGAAUUGUUUUAUUUUUUCCUUGUCUGCAGAUUUUGUAAAUAUUGGUGUUUGGUAGUUGCACUUUGUUUUCACUAUAAAUAACAUUUGUAAUCA